ACCGAUCCCUGAACCUUGAUAAGGCUCAGUUUCGUCCAGAUUCAUAUUUAAAAACCAUCCUAAGUCUUCCAAACACUUUUAAAUAUUUAUAAAUCAUCAUCAAUAGUAUUUAAACUUACCGAGCAUUAUGCAUUCAUUGUUUCAGUCUUCGAGUCUUCGAUCUUCAUCGCUUCUUCUUCAAACAUUCAAGACUCCGACUAACUUCACGAAAUAUGCCAACAUAAAAUCUGUAACAGUAUCAAACUUGCACAUCAAAUGUAAUAACUGAGAUUGUAUUUGGAAGUCUAAUGUAAAAGAAAAACUGUGGUGUAAAAUGCAUGUAAUGAGAAUGCUUGUAAUAGCAGUUAGUUUUAUGUUAUUGAU
This 363-nucleotide long non-coding RNA is filed under the name Ananas comosus (pineapple). RNAcentral describes it as "long non-coding RNA (ACOM_LNC041026)". Lineage: Eukaryota; Viridiplantae; Streptophyta; Magnoliopsida; Poales; Bromeliaceae. The record is from RNAcentral.